AAUGAACGCUGGCGGCGCGCCUAAUACAUGCAAGUCGAGCGAGAAGACGUAGCAAUACGUUUGUAAAGCGGCGAACGGGUGAGGAAUACAUGGGUAACCUACCCUCGAGUGGGGAAUAACUAGCCGAAAGGUUAGCUAAUACCGCGUACGCUCCUUGGACUUCGGUUCAGGGAGGAAAGCGAUACCGUGGGUAUCGCGCUCUUGGUCGGGCUCAUGUCCUAUCAGCUUGUUGGUGAGGUAACGGCUCACCAAGGCUUCGACGGGUAGCUGGUCUGAGAGGACGAUCAGCCACACUGGCACUGCGACACGGGCCAGACUCCUACGGGAGGCAGCAGUAAGGAAUAUUGCGCAAUGGGCGAAAGCCUGACGCAGCGACGCCGCGUGGGGGAGUGAA
RNAcentral lists this ribosomal RNA (394 nucleotides) under uncultured bacterium. Its description in RNAcentral is "bacterial SSU rRNA". It matches the Rfam family "Bacterial small subunit ribosomal RNA", at positions 29 to 413 of the family's 1533-position model. The record is from RNAcentral.